Molecule: long non-coding RNA, 582 nt
Organism: Cebus imitator (Panamanian white-faced capuchin)
Lineage: Eukaryota; Metazoa; Chordata; Mammalia; Primates; Cebidae
Exons: 3
Source: RefSeq, a predicted model, not a curated record
GUGAGAUUCCCUUUGAAUAUUGCAGCAGUGAGUUGACGGUUGCCAAGGGAACAGGUGGGCUUCGGAAGAAGCAGAUGCCCUGAUUCCAGCCAUGGAGACCUGAGGUUGCCUCUGUAAUGCCUGGAAUUUUGGCAGCCAUCUUGGGAUCAUGAGAAAUGUCAGCUUGAAGGAAAUGUGCUGAGAAAGACAAAGGAGAAAGGCUGAGGGCCUAAAAGUGGCUGUGGGAAACUUCUUUGGUCUAUUCCCUCUCCUGAGAGUCCAUGAAAUGUGAGAUGGGGGUCACUCCUCAGCUGAGUGUGCCCCCCAGUGACUGCUGGGCUCCAGCUUUUCCUGCAUGCAGCAAGGCUUGGAAGCCCCUUAGCCCCGCCACACUCUACUCACCUUCAUCCAGUGCAGUUACACAGGGCCUGGUCCUGCCACAAGCUCAUUUGUUCCAGACACCACUGAGGCCCCUCAAUCUGAUCACGUCUAAAUCAGAGGCUGCCAAGGAGGCUCAGGACUCCAUGGACUUGAAUGGCAGGGGACAAGCUCAGGAUGGCCUGAGACCUGAUUUUAUUUUUUAUGGGACUAUGUAGUGUACAA